CCGGUGUAUUCACGUCACAACCAAUUAGCCUGUGAGGAUACAGAGCGUUUCCUCGUGGACGGGGAUGGCGUUUGGCUGGAUGUGGAUGGGGAGCCAUGGGGCAAGGUCACGGAGCACGAGGCCAAGGACCAAAGGAACUUGACGUGCUACCAGUGCAGACAUUUUGGACACUGGGCCAAACACUGUGUGAACAUACCAAAGACUGCCAGGUUUGAUCCCCAACAAUCCUUAUGUGAUUCCUGGACAUUGCUUUCAGGGGAAUACUGAGGCCACACAGAACAUCUACUGAAACACUGCUGAGGACCCCGGAGACAAUGUGGGUACAGCAGACCCCAUGUUUUCUGCAACAGUGGAAGGAAAA
Molecule: long non-coding RNA, 361 nt
Organism: Gambusia affinis (western mosquitofish)
Lineage: Eukaryota; Metazoa; Chordata; Actinopteri; Cyprinodontiformes; Poeciliidae
Exons: 2
Source: RefSeq, a predicted model, not a curated record